UAACUGACAGAAUGAAUGAGUCUCAUAGCAGUCUUAAAACAAAAGUGGCUUUUCCUGAGAAGGAGUGCAAAACCUUUUGUGGCUAUCAGGGGGACAAAUUUGUUGCUUUGAUAUAUUUUUUUCUUCUUGUAUCCUACAAACAUAUUUUUCUCAUAACCCUAAAAACUGUACACAAACAUUAAUCUUUUACCGACUACUUCAGAUGAACAAUGAAUCCGUAUAGGACACACAAACAGAUAUUCAUCCACAUAUUUGGAACAAAAUACAGUCUAGAAACAGCAGAAUUUCAUUUUUUCUUUCCAAAUUGAUAUAAUCUAGGGAGUCAGGUGGCUGAGCGGUGAGGGAAUCGGGCUGGUAAUCCAAAGGUUGCCAGUUCGAUUCCCGGUCAUGCCAACUGACGUUGUGUCCUUGGGCAAGGCACUUCACCCUACUUGCCUCGGGGUAAUGUCCCUGUACUUACUGUAAGUCGCUCUGGAUAAGAGCGUCUGCUAAAUGACUAAAUGCUUCUACUCAGGGAUACUCCUUUAAUAUAUUUGCCAGCUUAACCAUAACAUGAGGAGAUAGUGAGAAGCAUGCUUGUGAGCUAAAUACAUUCAGAGUUGACCAUAUUGGACGUUGUAUGUUAACAACCAGUAAUCAAGCAAAAUACAAAACUAAAUUCCAACCUUCAGGAGGGUAUUCCAGAAAGCAUCAUGCAACAUAACCAGGUAAGUGAACUAUCGAGUUGGCACACAGCAUUGUAGCGACAUUUUGUGUCAGCUGGAGAGUUAACUUACCCGGUUAAGUCGCAUAACUUGCUUUCUGGAAUACCACCCAGAUCUUUAGGUUUUUAAGAUUUGUUUUUCAUCUCUGAUAUAAUUCUCAACCCUAGGCAUAUUGUUAUGAUUGCAUUAAAGGCAAAAGUAUUUUUGGUGUGUCUUACAUAUAACUUUCCUAUAAAAUUGUUGCAGCUGUAUAAGUAAGAUAUUUUUAUUGCAAUAUAGUGGGACAGAUCCAAAAGUUCUACCUCAAAUUCAAGUGCCUUUGUUUUUUACUUGUGAAUGUAUCAUAGUGCCUUCCUAAUUUUUGCCACAGCAAAUGUACUAGAAAUAAGUGUUCAACAAUGAUAAAAGUGGAAUAAUAUUCAACAUAAAUAUUUAACUUUGUUUAAGAACAUUUGCUUGGGCUGGUUUUAACAUUCUUCACAACUACUAAAAACUUAAGAAGUGAAGUUAGGGUAAAUUUGACCCAGUGUAGAUUACCAGUUACUUAUCUUCAAACUUUGUAAUAAAGGCCCUUUAAUUCUUCAUUUGUAUGACUUGCAAUUGUAACCACCUCUUACAUUUACGUAAUUCAGGUCCAAGUCAUUUGUGGCUACACCAUGCCCACUGUAUUACAGUAACUGUGUUUACUCUUUGAUGCAGUUUGGUGCAAAGUUAGUUUAUCAAUUGCUGCAAGUGUAUGUAGCAUAUGUGCUUAUUGUUUAAGUUAAGUCAUAUGUGGGUUUGUGAGGAUGAGUACGGGUACACACCUUUUGUGUUGAUAUAGAGUUGAUGGGAAAUGUUUUCUAUUUCGUGAAUUUAUCUAUUUAACUACAUUUUAUUCAGUCUGUCUUGACCUACAUCAUAGCAUUGCUCUGACCAUUUUGUCUUGCAGAGAUGCAGAAAGAGUCCAAUACUAUCAUUGUCUUCCUGGGCCAUCCCCUUACAAGCUACUUUGAACCAAUGCUCUCUGGACGCUGUUGUAAUGUACUGUAUGUCUUAUUAAUGUUAUAUAUUUUAACUUUGUCUGCAAACCAAAUUUGCCUUACCUGACAAUAAAGACUUAAUUUGGUAUCUAAGGGAA
This is a long non-coding RNA of Osmerus eperlanus (European smelt), 1824 nucleotides long. RefSeq lists it as uncharacterized. The record is from RefSeq and is a predicted model, not a curated record. Lineage: Eukaryota; Metazoa; Chordata; Actinopteri; Osmeriformes; Osmeridae. The transcript is spliced from 2 exons.